GACGAACGCUGGCGGCGUGCUUAACACAUGCAAGUCGAACGGAAAGGCCCUGCUUGCAGGGUACUCGAGUGGCGAACGGGUGAGUAACACGUGGGUGAUCUGCCCUGCACUUCGGGAUAAGCCUGGGAAACUGGGUCUAAUACCGGAUAGGAGCCAUUUUUAGUGUGAUGGUUGGAAAGUUUUUUCGGUGUAGGAUGAGCUCGCGGCCUAUCAGCUUGUUGGUGGGGUAAUGGCCUACCAAGGCGGCGACGGGUAGCCGGCCUGAGAGGGUGGACGGCCACAUUGGGACUGAGAUACGGCCCAGACUCCGACGGGAGGCAGCAGUGGGGAAUAUUGCACAAUGGGCGCAAGCCUGAUGCAGCGACGCCGCAUGGGGGAUGACGGCCUUCGGGUUGUAAACUCCUUUCGCUAGGGACGAAGCUUUUUGUGACGGUACCUAGAUAAGAAGCACCGGCUAACUACGUG
Molecule: ribosomal RNA, 465 nt
Filed under: uncultured bacterium
Lineage: Bacteria
Description: partial 16S ribosomal RNA
Rfam family: Bacterial small subunit ribosomal RNA
Source: RNAcentral